RNAcentral lists this transfer RNA (92 nucleotides) under Rubripirellula lacrimiformis. RNAcentral describes it as "Planctomycetes bacterium K22_7 tRNA-Cys". The record is from RNAcentral. Lineage: Bacteria; Pseudomonadati; Planctomycetota; Planctomycetia; Pirellulales; Pirellulaceae.
GCGGAAUUGGCCAGGAUCGAUUCGGUCUGUUUACAGUACGAAUCGGAAUUGCGACGAGGGUCCAGCCCAUCGAUCGAUUCGUUGGUUUCGCG